RNAcentral lists this ribosomal RNA (470 nucleotides) under uncultured bacterium. RNAcentral's name for it is "bacterial SSU rRNA". It matches the Rfam family "Bacterial small subunit ribosomal RNA", at positions 333 to 793 of the family's 1533-position model. The record is from RNAcentral.
GUACUCCUACGGGGAGGCAGCAGUGGGGGAAUAUUGCACAAUGGGCGCAAGCCUGAUGCAGCCAUGCCGCGUGUGUGAAGAAGGCCUUCGGGUGUAAAGCACUUUCAGUCGUGAGGAAGGUAGUGUAGUUAAUAGCUGCAUUAUUUGACGUUAGCGACAGAAGAAGCACCGGCUAACUCCGUGCCAGCAGCCGCGGUAAUACGGAGGGUGCGAGCGUUAAUCGGAAUUACUGGGCGUAAAGCGCAUGCAGGUGGUUUGUUAAGUCAGAUGUGAAAGCCCGGGGCUCAACCUCGGAAUAGCAUUUGAAACUGGCAGACUAGAGUACUGUAGAGGGGGGUAGGAAUUUCAGGUGUAGCGGUGAAAUGCGUAGAGAUCUGAAGGAAUACCGGUGGCGAAGGCGGCCCCCUGGACAGAUACUGACACUCAGAUGCGAAAGCGUGGGGAGCAAACAGGAUUAGAUACCCUGGUAG